GAUUUGCGUAAGAAGAAGACUUCAACCUUACAGGCGGGCAUUCGUUCUCUAGCAAACCCACCUUUCACAUUCACUCCGUUUCAACUGUGACUUCAUAGCUCGAGUCUGCUCGAAGCGCGUCAAGUAAUGGAAGUAUUGAAAAGUGCUAUACUGCAGCCAGGGUCAGUGGAGAAUUUCGCCCUCCAGACAGUUCAAGAAGUGAUAAAGCCUCAGAGACCAACGAAAUUAGCGCAAGAUGAGAACCAAUUGUUGGAGAAUAUGCUUCGUACAUUGCUUCAGGAGUUGGUGUCAGCUGCGGUGCAGUCAGGGGAGCAGAUAAUGCAGUAUGGGCAAUCAAUCGAUGAUGUGGAGAAUGCCCAAGGCCAAAUUCCUCGUCUUCUAGACUUUGUAUUGUAUCUUUGCGAGAAAGAACAUGUUGAAGGUGGUAUGAUAUUCCAACUACUCGAGGACUUGACUGAAAUGUCUACAAUGAGAAAUUGCAAGGAUAUUUUUGGCUACAUAGAGAGUAAACAAGACGUAUUAGGGAAGCAAGAGCUGUUUGCUCGUGGAAAACUAGUGAUGUUGAGAACAUGCAAUCAACUUCUUCGGCGCCUGUCAAAGGCAAAUGAUGUAGUAUUUUGUGGACGAAUUCUCAUGUUCCUGGCUCAUUUUUUCCCAUUGUCUGAACGUUCAGCUGUUAAUAUAAAAGGAGUUUUUAACACGUCAAAUGAGACAAAAUACGAGAAGGAGCCACCAGAUGGCAUUGCGGUUGACUUCAACUUUUAUCAGACCUUUUGGAGUUUGCAAGAAUAUUUUUGUAACCCCGCUUCUCUCCCGCUUGCUCCUAACAAGUGGCAAAAAUUUACAUCCAGUUUGAUGGUUGUGUUGAAUACAUUUGAAGCUCAGCCUUUGAGUGAUGAAGAGGGAAACACUAAUAAUUUGGAGGAAGAGGCAGCAACUUUUAAUAUUAAAUAUCUUACUAGUAGCAAACUAAUGGGAUUAGAGUUAAAAGAUCCAAGUUUCCGACGUCAUGUUCUUGUGCAAUGCCUUAUUUUAUUUGACUAUUUGAAGUCUCCUGGAAAACAUGACAAAGAUGUGGCAUCUGAUAGCAUGAAGGAAGAAAUAAAAUCUUGCGAGGAGCGUGUUAAGAAAUUACUUGAAGUAACUCCUCCCAAAGGGAAAGAUUUUCUUCGUAGUAUUGAGCAUAUAUUAGAGCGUGAAAAGAAUUGGGUUUGGUGGAAACGUGAUGGUUGCCCACCAUUUGAAAAGCAACCUACAGAGAAGAAAGCUGUCCAAGAGGGACCUAAAAAACGUAGGCCAAGGUGGAGACUGGGAAAUAGGGAACUCUCUCAGUUGUGGAAAUGGGCUGAUCAAAACCCGAACGCUUUGACUGAUCCUCAACGUGUUCUAACUCCGGCAAGCACAGAGUAUUGGAAACCACUGGCUGAAGAUAUGGACCCAGCAGCUGGAAUAGAGGCUGAGUACCACCACAAAAAUAAUCGGGUUUACUGCUGGAAAGGUCUUCGAUUGGCUGCUCGUCAAGACUUGGAAGGGUUUUCUAGAUUUACUGAUCAUGGUAUUGAAGGGGUUGUUCCUCUAGAGCUUUUGUCACCUGAUGUUCGAACCAAGUACCAUAAUAAACCGAGCGACAAAUCUAAACGUGCCAAAAAAGAAGAGACGAUGAAUGCUUCACAGCAAGCUGAAGAAAAUCAGAUUGCAACCCCUGCUAGUGAAAUUGAUGGUGAGGCGAUUAGAACCGAUCUUGAAGCCGCAGCAGCACCAAUGGACACUGAUGCCACAACUGCUAUUGGCAAUAUAUCCCAAGGUGGAACUCCAACACCAGAAGAAAAUCAAAAGCAAAGCCCCGACACAGAUGUCGGUCAAGAGUCUGCCCAGUUAGAAGCUGAUGCUGAAGUAGAUGUUGGGUUGGAUGGAGAGACAGACCCAGAAGCUGAGGUAGAGUUAGAUACUGCAGGUUGAGAUACAUAAAGUGAUUCAUCCAACUGUCAAUCUUGAAUGUAGAUCCAUUUCUUCUGUAGUUUUCUAUUGCCGUCGCCAAGUAGUCUUGUAUCAAUCAUUUUGAUUCAUGAUUUAGAUGAGCAUCUUCCAUGUCUUAUUAAAUCGCUAAACAAUUGAGAAUCGCAUGAUUUCAAAUACUCUUCGGCCGGUUUUUACUUUGUGGGCUAAAUGGAUCUGGUUGCUCUGCUGGAAUAAGAAACUGCUCAGGUUGCUUUCA
This is an RNA transcript of Tripterygium wilfordii, 2215 nucleotides long. It is a transcript of the gene named THO complex subunit 1, with no coding region annotated. The record is from RefSeq and is a predicted model, not a curated record. Lineage: Eukaryota; Viridiplantae; Streptophyta; Magnoliopsida; Celastrales; Celastraceae. The transcript has 22 exons.